GACCUGGCCGGGCGGUCCGCCUAACGGUGUGUACUGUCUGGCCGGGCCUUACCUCUUGGUGAGCCAGCAUGCCCUUCACUGGGUGUGUUGGGGAACCAGGACUUUUACCUUGAGAAAAUUAGAGUGUUCAAAGCAGGCCUACGCCCGAAUACAUUAGCAUGGAAUAAUAAAAUAGGACGGCAUGGUUCUAUUUUGUUGGUUUCUAGGAUCACCGUA
RNAcentral lists this ribosomal RNA (216 nucleotides) under uncultured fungus. RNAcentral describes it as "partial small subunit ribosomal RNA". The stretch from base 88 to 216 matches the Rfam family "Eukaryotic small subunit ribosomal RNA", at positions 735 to 864 of the family's 1831-position model. The record is from RNAcentral. Lineage: Eukaryota; Fungi.